AUUCCCUCGGGCCGGCCUUUUGGCUAUAGAUCAAGCAUAAUAUCUGAUCUGUUCUCUAUCUGAGAACUUUAUAUUAAAUGGAUUUUUGGAACAGGGAGAUGGAAUAGACGCUUGCUCCGUCCACUCCACGCAUCAACCCGGUAUUGCAGUACUUCCGGGCAUGGUGCACCUCCC
This 174-nucleotide small nuclear RNA is filed under the name Chelydra serpentina (North American snapping turtle). RNAcentral's name for it is "U2 spliceosomal RNA (ENSCSRG00000006305.1)". It matches the Rfam family "U2 spliceosomal RNA". Rfam says of the family: U2 is a small nuclear RNA (snRNA) component of the spliceosome (involved in pre-mRNA splicing). Complementary binding between U2 snRNA (in an area lying towards the 5' end but 3' to hairpin I) and the branchpoint sequence (BPS) of the intron results the bulging out of an unpaired adenosine, on the BPS, which initiates a nucleophilic attack at the intronic 5' splice site, thus starting the first of two transesterification reactions that mediate splicing. Lineage: Eukaryota; Metazoa; Chordata; Testudines; Chelydridae. The record is from Rfam by way of RNAcentral.